This 400-nucleotide RNase P RNA is filed under the name Dehalococcoidia bacterium. RNAcentral describes it as "RNase P RNA component class A". It matches the Rfam family "Bacterial RNase P class A". From Rfam's summary of the family: Ribonuclease P (RNase P) is a ubiquitous endoribonuclease, found in archaea, bacteria and eukarya as well as chloroplasts and mitochondria. Its best characterised activity is the generation of mature 5'-ends of tRNAs by cleaving the 5'-leader elements of precursor-tRNAs. Cellular RNase Ps are ribonucleoproteins. The record is from RNAcentral. Lineage: Bacteria; Bacillati; Chloroflexota; Dehalococcoidia.
CGAGUAAACCAGGUGACCGCCCCUAUAUGAUUGGGGAGGAAAGUCCGAGCUCCGCCGAGCAGGGCGCUGGGUAACACCCAGGAGGGGAGACCCUACGGAAAGUGCCACAGAAACACACCGCCAGCGGCCGGCUUAGCCAGUGCGGGCAAGGGUGAAAUGGCGAGGUAAGAGCUCACCAGCAACCAGGAGACUAGUUGGCUGGACAAACCCCGCCCGGAGCAAGACCAAAUAAGAGGGCCCAACUACCCCGAAGCCUGCGGACUCCGGGGUAAGUUUAAGGUGCUCGGCCAAGACCCUUGGGUUGGUCGCUUGACUCUGAUGGUAACAUCAGAGCUAGAUGGAUGGUCACCACCCCGACGCGGUCGGGGCACAGAACUCGGCUUAUAGGUUUACUCGCCCA